UUAUAUUCUCCACAGGGGGGGAUGAGAACCCCCGUCCGGGGUUCGACAACUGGCGCAGCCAUUUGGACAGACCGCGCACGCAGUAAGCGGGCUGCCCCGCAGGGGCGAGCGAAGCGAGUCAAUCCCCCCCUCACCGCCA
Molecule: small RNA, 139 nt
Filed under: Klebsiella pneumoniae
Lineage: Bacteria; Pseudomonadati; Pseudomonadota; Gammaproteobacteria; Enterobacterales; Enterobacteriaceae
Description: RtT sRNA
Rfam family: RtT RNA
About the family: This family represents a bacterial cis-regulatory element known as RtT RNA. The exact function of RtT is unknown although it is thought that it may be involved in changing the cellular response in relation to amino acid starvation.
Source: RNAcentral